ACAAAUACGUGGCAGUAGCGGGGUGAAAGCGUGGGGGGCGGGCUGUGUCGGGAUGUAUUGGGCGUAAAGAGUUAGGUGGGGGCUAACGAAGGCGGAUGGGAAAACGUCAGGCGCAACCUGGGGACGCCAUUCGAUACUGGUGUGGCUAGAUGCCAGUAGGGGAGUGUGGAAUUCCUGGUGUAGCGGUGAAAUGCAUAGAUAUCAGGAGGAACACCAGCGGCGAAGGCGGCACUCUGGGCUGGUACUGACGCUGAGGAGCGAAAGCGUGGGGAGCGAACAGGAUUAGAUACCCGGGUAGUC
Molecule: ribosomal RNA, 300 nt
Filed under: uncultured Sulfuricurvum sp.
Lineage: Bacteria; Pseudomonadati; Campylobacterota; Epsilonproteobacteria; Campylobacterales; Sulfurimonadaceae
Description: bacterial SSU rRNA
Rfam family: Bacterial small subunit ribosomal RNA
Source: RNAcentral